Molecule: ribosomal RNA, 300 nt
Filed under: uncultured Haloarcula sp.
Lineage: Archaea; Methanobacteriati; Methanobacteriota; Halobacteria; Halobacteriales; Haloarculaceae
Description: bacterial SSU rRNA
Rfam family: Bacterial small subunit ribosomal RNA
Source: RNAcentral
CGAAACUCCGUGCCAGAAGCUGGGUGAAAGCGGGGAGGUCGAACGUUGUGGUGAAGGACUGUGCGGAAAUCGGACGUAGGCGGAUCGGACAGACAGAGGUGAAAUCCCGGGGGUCAACCCCGGAACGGCCUUGGAAACUAUCGGUCUGGAGUUCGAGAGAGGUGAGUGGAAGUCCGGGUGUAGAGGUGAAAUUCGGAUAUAUUCGGAGGAACACCAGUGGCGAAGGCGGCUCACUGGCUCGAUACUGACGCUGAGGUGCGAAAGCGUGGGGAGCAAACAGGAUUAGAUACCCGAGUAGUC